GAUGAACGCUGGCGGCGUGCCUAAUACAUGCAAGUCGAGCGAACAGACGAGGAGCUUGCUCCUCUGACGUUAGCGGCGGACGGGUGAGUAACACGUGGAUAACCUACCUAUAAGACUGGGAUAACUUCGGGAAACCGGAGCUAAUACCGGAUAAUAUAUUGAACCGCAUGGUUCAAUAGUGAAAGACGGUUUUGCUGUCACUUAUAGAUGGAUCCGCGCCGCAUUAGCUAGUUGGUAAGGUAACGGCUUACCAAGGCGACGAUGCGUAGCCGACCUGAGAGGGUGAUCGGCCACACUGGAGCUGAGACACGGUCCAGACUCCUACGGGAGGCAGCAGUAGGGAAUCUUCCGCAAUGGGCGAAAGCCUGACGGAGCAACGCCGCGUGAGUGAUGAAGGUCUUCGGAUCGUAAAACUCUGUUAUUAGGGAAGAACAAAUGUGUAAGUAACUAUGCACGUCUUGACGGUACCUAAUCAGAAAGCCACGGCUAACUACAUG
Molecule: ribosomal RNA, 497 nt
Filed under: uncultured bacterium
Lineage: Bacteria
Description: partial 16S ribosomal RNA
Rfam family: Bacterial small subunit ribosomal RNA
Source: RNAcentral